UCCCGAGUAGCUGGGAGUACAGGCGUCUGCCACCUCGCCCGGCUAAUUUUUUGUAUUUUUAGUAGAGAUGGGGUUUCAUCGCGUUAGCCAGGAUGGUCUCCGUCUCCUGACGUCGUGAUUCGCCCGCCUCGGCCUCGCGAAGUGCUGGUAUUACAGACGUGAGCCACUGCGCCCUGCCCACAUGCUUUUAAAUGACCAGAAUCACUAUCAGACAGCACCAAGCCAUGAGGUCCAUGGUUCCUGACUUCUGACAGAGAUGGCAACUGGAAUCCAGGUUGUCUUCUGCCUUCUGCUUUGAUUUCUAUAUGAGGGUGCAUCAAAAUCCAUUCCGAUGGGCUUCCUUUAUAAAGACCCUUCCUUCCAGCAGGACAACAUCCAAGAAAAAGCCAGUGACUGUUCCUGAGGGCGCCUGUUAAGAGCUGGCUUUUUGGCUGUGGUGACCAGUCAGUCACGACCACUCUUCCGAGAGCAACACCAAGUGGAAACCCCGCCAAGUGGGCUUUUCAGGAACCCUCUCACCACCCAAGGCCUUUGGAUCUUAUAUCUAACAAAUUACAUGUUACAUUAUUUUUUAAAAAACAGGUUAGUGACAACUAAGAUAGUCUCUCCAGAAUUAGAGUCUGAUGUCAGAUUCAGAAAAUCCCCCGUUCCUUGGGAAUUCCCAUGUCACUCAUUCUGCAUUAAUGAUAUUUAUUCUCUCUCAUUGUUUUAUUCUUAAAAAAUAGCUCCCCUGGUUGCAAUGUGAUGUUAAGUAUAUUACAUGUCAGUUCAUAUAUUACAGCUCGCACCACUCCUGGGUAUAUGUUUCCAAAUAGCUCUCACUCCACAGUUCCAGUUCCACAUUAAAUAUGGGCUGCCAUGAGUGGAGCCCGAAAGGGUUGUCUGUUCCAUUCCCGCUUCUUGUUUUCCCUGGAAGUAUUUUCCCCUCCUAUUUUAUACUCCUCAGGGAAGAUGUGCCCUCCAGUAAGAAAAGUCUACCUGGGGAAGGUAGAAUGUGUUCUUGCUCUAGAGUUUCUUGAGGGGAGGUGAGAAGGGGCAGCUGUUUGACAGAGUGCAUGCAGCCUUCCAGGGGCUGGCACUGGUUUGGCACAUGAGUGGACACCCUGACUAGGGGAUGUGGGAUGCCAGAAACCAUCAAGAUCCUUGGAAAAAAGCCAAAAUAUCCUUCCUUCUGCAACAUGAACAUCAAAAUGAGUUUUUGUCUUCUGUGGCUAUCAUGCUCUUGACCAUCUGUGUUGUAGGGUCAUUAACAGACAGUUUCAG
Molecule: long non-coding RNA, 1263 nt
Filed under: Homo sapiens (human)
Lineage: Eukaryota; Metazoa; Chordata; Mammalia; Primates; Hominidae
Description: HSALNT0127819
Source: RNAcentral